This is a non-coding RNA of Triticum urartu, 73 nucleotides long. NCBI's taxonomy places the organism in Eukaryota, Viridiplantae, Streptophyta, Magnoliopsida, Poales, Poaceae. The record is from Rfam.
GUGAGUAUCAUAUAGUGGUUUAUUAUCUCCGACUUCCACUCGGAUGACUCCAGUUCGAAUCUGGAUACUCAUA